This 57-nucleotide transfer RNA is filed under the name Phintella cavaleriei. RNAcentral's name for it is "tRNA-Gly". The record is from RNAcentral. Lineage: Eukaryota; Metazoa; Arthropoda; Arachnida; Araneae; Salticidae.
AAUAUAGUAGUAUUAAUACAUUUGAUUUCCAAUCAAAAGUGGAAAUAAUUUUUAUUA